Molecule: ribosomal RNA, 406 nt
Filed under: uncultured bacterium
Lineage: Bacteria
Description: partial 16S ribosomal RNA
Rfam family: Bacterial small subunit ribosomal RNA
Source: RNAcentral
AGUGAACGCUGGCGGCAGGCCUAACACAUGCAAGUCGAGCGAGCGGCGGACGGGUGAGUAAUGUCUGGGAAACUGCCUGAUGGAGGGGGAUAACUACUGGAAACGGUAGCUAAUACCGCAUACCAUCAGAUGGGCCAAGAUGGGAUUAGCUAGGAGGUUGGGUAACGGCUCACCUAGGCGACGAUCCCUAGCUGGUCUGAGAGGAUGACCAGCCAAACUGGACCUAGGACCCGGUCCCGACUCCUACGGGAGGCAGCAGUGGGGAAUAUUGCACAAGGGGCGCAAGCCUGAUGCAGCCAUGCCGCGUGUGUGAAGAAGGCCUUCGGGUUGGAAAGCACUUUCAGCGGGGAGGCGUUACCCGCAGAAGAAGCACCGGCUAACUCCGUGCCAGCCGCCGCGGUAAUAC